RNAcentral lists this ribosomal RNA (480 nucleotides) under uncultured bacterium. RNAcentral's name for it is "partial 16S ribosomal RNA". It matches the Rfam family "Bacterial small subunit ribosomal RNA", at positions 29 to 523 of the family's 1533-position model. The record is from RNAcentral.
AACAAACGCUGGCGGCGUGCCUAAUACAUGCAAGUCGAACGGGGAAAGUAGCAAUAUGAGUACUAGUGGCGCACGGGUGAGGAAUACAUGGGUAAUCUGCCUUCAAGUUUGGGAUAACCAGUCGAAAGAUUGGCUAAUACCGGAUAAGACCACAUGAACUGCGGUUCAAGAGGUCAAAGGUUUUUCGCUUGAAGAUGAGCCCAUGUGGGAUUAGCUAGUUGGUGAGGCAAUGGCUCACCAAGGCGACGAUCCCUAACUGGUCUUAGAGGAUGAUCAGUCACACUGGAACUGAGACACGGUCCAGACUCCUACGGGAGGCAGCAGUAGGGAAUAUUGCGCAAUGGGGGAAACCCUGACGCAGCGACGCCGCGUGAGUGAUGAAGGCCUUCGGGUCGUAAAGCUCUGUCGUAUGGGACUAACAAAAUGAAGGUACCAUGCAAGAAUAAGAGGCUCCAAACUCUGUGCCAGCAGCCGCGGUAA